UGGGUUGGGCCAAGUGCUUGGAUCUCGACCAAUUGCCCACGCAUUAACUAGUACUUGUGAAUUCUUUGGAAUUGUGAAGCCACAUAUUUCUACGUCUGUUUCAGCUUUAUGGGGAACUAGCAGUGGGGCUGGUGGGUGCAACCGAAAGGUUUCUUUAACUAUGGAUUGUAAGUAAGGGAACUUCGAGAUGUCUGAUUCUUGAACUAUCCCUUCAUUCCCAAGGACUCCUCGGAUCUCCUUUUGAGCUUUUGCAAUUUUUUCCGGGUUGCAUAGUAACUCUGCCAUUGCCCACUCUACUGUGCUUGAAGUCGUGUCAGUUCCCGCAACAAAGAGAUCCUGAUCAUACAAAGCAAUGUUAGAAUUAAGGUUUCAUUGAUCAUAAUUUGCAAUUUGCACUUACCAAUGUUUUCUACAUGAAAUCUCAAGAAAAAUGUGUGCAAGAAGAAACUCCAAGGAAGACUGACUUCUAAUUCAUUGCUUACUUAAAUUUUCUAGGUCAAUUCAGUUUAAUAACUAUAACAAAUUUCAUAAAUGCAUCAAAUUGAAUGUGACGUAUGUGCAUAAAGACAAUUAAAUGAUUUCAUUUCCAUAGUCAUCCGAAAACGCCCUUGUAAAAUUUAACAGACAAAAGGAGUACUGAUUACUAAUAGUGAAGAUGUAGUUACCCACCAGAAGCAAAUGUUUUAUAUCACUGCAGCUCCACUCAUUGUCAUUUUCUUUUGUGAGAUUGAGGAGGGCAUCUAGUACAUCCUUGCUUGCUGAUGAAGUUUUUGAUUGCAACCUUUGAUUUAUUAUACCAUCAAAAAUAUGAAAUAAUUUAUUAAAAUAAAUUUUCAUGUUCCACCGUAUACCUUGUGGAUCAAUCAAUCUAAAGGCCGGGAAAUAAUCUACAAAGUUGGGUCUUCCAACUCCUUCCAUCACACCCCGGGCAAUAUUCUUGAACUCUUGUGAAAAAUUAGAACCAUGAUGAGCCAAAUUAAUGGAGAAAAUAGUGUUCGAUAACAAAUUAAGGCUUGCUGUGAAGACUGCUCCAUUAAUAUCGACUGCACAACCCCUACUGCAACAUUCUUCCACAUGAUCCAGCAGUUCCUGUACAAUUUUUCUCCGAAGGCCUUGGCUGGCAUCGAGCUGCUGCACCGAAAAUAUUUCCCUGGUGCAUAUCUUCCUAAUCUUUCGCCAAUGCACUGAUGCUGGAACCCAUACCACUGAAGACUCAUGAUGAUUAUGCGCUCUGACAGCAUCCGGGACUGUUCGGCUGGAGAAAGCUUGAUCAUUUCUGUGUAGGACCUCUUUUGCAGUUUCUGAAGAGGAAAUGACUAUGGUAGCAAUACUCCCAAGCUUGAGAGACAUUACAGGACCAUAAGUUUUGGAGAGAUUUGCAAGUGAUCGAUGGGGUUUGUCCCCAAGUUUGAGGAUGUUGCCGAUGAUUGGCAAAGGCCGGGGGCCUGGAGGGAGGCUGGCUGUACCAGGUUUCCGGCCAAUCGGACUGAGUUUGAGGAGAUGAAUGCAUGUCCACACAAAGGAAAGCAAAAGCAAAAAUGUUAUGUAAUCCAUUGUCUACUUCUUUUCACUCUUUUCCUCUCUUCUCUUGUUUAUGAGACACGGGAUUCUCCCUAUCGUCUCUGGUAUCUGUAUGGAAACAUGUGGACCAUGAAAUACUAAUCAACAAAACAAUGGUCUACUUUUUAAUUUCUUAUUUGGCUUUAGUGUUAUUUUCAUGAAAAAUCAAGGACGGACCACAGCCAACUUAAUAAACCCGUGAGUGAUUCUGCUACGAAACAACACCAACCAUGGAAAACAAAAUAAUGCUGCAAAACUAACAUAUAACACUGUUAAAAAAAAUCACCAUUCACAGACAAAGCCUUUUACCCAUACAAAUAUACACUAAAGGAAAAAUAUUUAUACAAUAAUCAUGUACGCUUGUCUUUAUGGGUCUUUACUAAUCCUCAAAACUUCUCUUUAUAAGUCAUAUAACCUUUUCUUGGCUUAAUGAAGAUGAGUUUUCAUUCUUCACUUUAAUUUUAAAAGUUAAUAAUCAUUUUUAAACAAAUUUUAAAAUAGAAAACUAACACACCUACAAGCUAUCAAUUUCUCAUUCUUGUUUAUCAAACCAACAACAUUUAUGUUUUACAUAGAAAAAUCAUAUAUAUAUAUAUAUAUAUAUAUACCAAUGUCAUUAAAAAUAUUCUUUUUCUUCUUAUUGUUAUAUAUAUAUAUAUAUAUAUAUAUAUAUAUAUAUACCAAACAUAAUUUUGUUUUUAUUUUUAAAAUAAAAAUAGAAUUAGAAUAUACAAAUUUAAUUAAACAAUUUUUAGUUUUCUACUUCUAGAAAUAGUAAAAAGAUCAAGAUCGUACAUUCCAAUAAUUUUUACUUAUUUAUAAUCUUUGGUGAAAAUAAAAAUGAAAUAAAGCCUGAAAGAUUAGGAUGUGAUGUCAAUAUGAUCAAUACUUGAGUUGUAAGUUGGCAUGGGGUUUAAUUAAAUAAAUUAUGGUAUAUAAUUAAUUAAUGGGCUUGGUCUUGUCUUAACGGACGAAACCACUUAGAGGAAGUGUGAAUAGGUAAGAAUAACUUUCUAACAUCGAUCUCCCUCCUCGUUAGGAUCCAAUCAAUGAAGUAGGCUACUGCUAUAUGAACCUGGAUGCGAUGUGAGGCAGUAUAGAAUGUACUACACUCAAAAAUACCAAAUUGUCAAGCUGGUUUGAUCACAUCAAUCAAUGGAAUACAUAUGGGUAAGAGACAAGCCUCCUCAUAAAAAGCAUGAGCAAUAGCCGCACACUCAACUCGUAAGAGGGUCAGGAUAUUAGAAACCAUAGGAGGAUCAAUGCCUUAAUAUAGACACACAUCCCCAAGUCAAUUUUUGACAAAUCUAUCAAGAAGACACAACAAAGUCUAAACCAUUUAUCAAAACACUAAAAUAUACUCUAGGAAUAUACUAAUAAUGGAUGUUAUCAUAGAACAUCCAAGUGCAGUGAUUAGGGUAUAUAGCCAUUUGAAUAGACAUAAUAGCCUUCCACCUCUAGUCAUAGACAAUGUAGGGAAUACGAGUACCCAAACUUAGAAAAAAUCAUAUAGCACACUUUGGCUCAACAUGUCUCUCAAAGAUUAUAUCAUAGAAUGCAAUCCUAUGUUUCAUAAAAUAGAAAUAAUGAAUGGGAAGGUUAUAUUGUAUAGGAUUGAUGAAUAGGUGUCCUAACAUGAGGAGACCUAGAAUGAGAAGCAGCCUACUUCUAGACCCACCUCUACCACAAGUCAUAGGAAAAAUAAGAGAAAAUUUUGGGAAUAGAAAUUAAUCUAGGAAAGUGUGCGAUCAAAAGUGUCCUAAACAUUGAGCUUAGAGGCCCAUUAAAGUCAAAUAUAAAGAGAAAUUGCAAGAAAAUCUUAUGAAGGAAGAGCAACGAAUGUUAGAAGAGAAAGGAGAUAAAAAUGGAGGCAUAUAGUGAAUAUCAAGUGUUGGUGCACUUUUAAAAUUAAGGACAUUCGAAUAUCUCAUAAAGAGUGUGUAGACCCUUAAUUUUAUUCAUAUUUAUAUGAUAUAAGCUUAUUUAGAUGUAGUCUUUUGACUUACCAUUUCUCUUGACUUUAUUUUAUUCCAUUUUAUAAUUAUUUUUAUUUAACUUUUUCACUUUUAUUCUCUAUUCUUUCUCAGUUCUUCCUUACCUUGCUUUUCUUUCUCUCCACACAUCACCAUACGUGCACCAUGAUUACACUUCCAUUAAUUUCUAAAGAAACAAACAAUUUCCUCCAUUUGUUUUUUAGAAAGGAAUGCGGGUAUAUCUAAGCCAAACUAGAAGUGGGACUUGUGUUGUUGAGUGAUCAUUGUACAUUCAAAUCUAACAAUAAGAUACUGGAGUCCUCCGCGUUAAUUAAUUUUCCAGAUGAUAUAUUGUUUGUCAACAUAAUGUUUGGGAAACACCCCAAUUUGCCACUUAGUUGGCCAAUCUCUACCAUCCUACCAAACACAUUUCUUUUUCUUUCCUUCACUCACUGUUUUACAAAUCUACUUGCAGGGUAACUUUCAACAAUGAAGGAUGGACCACAGCCAAAAGAACGGAUUGUACUAUAGCGCAUGGAAAACAAUAAUGCUGGAAACUAUCUUUCCUUUUUCUCACUGUUUUUCAAAUCUACUUGUUGGGUCGCUUUAAAAAAAAUGAAGGAUGGACCAUAGGCGGAGCUAGAAAAUGACCUGAGAGGGGCCAAAAUAUGAGAACAUAUUUCAGAGGGACAUAAAUGAUUGAAUUUACCUAGUGAUGUAGUGGCAAUGAAAGAUAUUUUUAUUCUUUUCCUAGGUGGGACAAGCACCAUGUGGCUCUGCUCCUGGAUGAACCACAACCAAAAGAAAGGACAAACCGACAUUGCUUGUACUGUAACACUUAGCAUGGAAAACAAUAAUGCAUGUUUUAAAAACUGAUCAAUCAAAGCCUGGUCCAGUUCGAUUCACAUGUUGAGCUGAAGCCAAGGAACCUACUGAACAGAGGUUGAGAUGGACCAAAAAUACCACAUACCACAAAUCUAUAGUAUGGGACCAUUGAUCGAAGAUUCAAAGAAAUGACUGUGCAACCACUAGAUCUAGUGCUAGUUUUGUUAUAUAACAGUUGCAUUAUUAGCUAAAUUUAUCCUACUUAUUUAUGUAAUAAUAAAUUUGAAAAAAUAAUAUAAGCAAAAUAACCUACUAUCUUUUAAAACUAUAAAAUAAUCUAAUAUUUAAUAUGUAAAUAAAGUUAAAUAAUAUUAUAUAUAUAUAUAUAAUAUAAAAUAUGAAAAUGUUAGCUGACUUAUUUCAUGAGCAUUUUUGUUUCAGUCAUCUAAAAAAAUUAACUCUGUUAUUGUUAAACUAUGAUUCCCUGCAAUAAAAACACUACAUUAAACCAUGAUUUCGAUUACUCUGAUGAGCAUAUUCCUCCUUAGUUCUUUCAUCUAUAUUGUAGCACAAGACUAUUACAACUUCUAUCCACCCUUUUAGCUGUUUCUCAUGCAAGUGACACAACAGAGAAAAAACAAAGGUCCCACCUAUUGUACCUAAAUCCUUCUUUAUUUAUAUCAUGAUUUUAUAUAUUUAUACUACCGUUUAGUAAUUAUAUUUUAUCAAAUAUUUUGAAAACCUUGGGUGGGUAUUAGGUAAUAAUAGGGUACAUAAACAACAUAGAAGUUGCAUUCAUUAAAACAUAAAAAUACAAUCAAACUUUGAUUGGAAUAGCCCGUAGAGGCUGGACCUUGUGUAAUGUCAACCCCAAUUUCUCAUUCAUGUCCAUAUCUGCUGGUUUCAUACCAUCGUCAAGCUUCCAAGCAUAGGAAUGAAGAAGAGAGGCCAAUAUCAGGUGCACCAUCCUAUGAGCUAAUGGCAGUCCAAGACAUAUUCUUCUUCCCGCACCAAAUGGAAUCAACUCAAAAUCCCGGCCUUUGACAUCAAUAUCACACCCCAAAAACCUCUCAGGUACGAAUGCAUUUGGGUUCGACCAAGUGCUUGGAUCUCGACCGAUAGCCCAUACAUUAACUAGUACUUGGGAAUUCUUUGGAACUGUGAAGCCGCGUAUUUCUACAUCAGAUUCAGCUUUAUGGGGAGCUAGCAGUGGGCCUGGUGGGUGCAACCUAAAGGUCUCUUUGACUAUGGCUUGAAAGUAAGGGAGCUUUGAGAUGUCUGAUUCUUGAACUAUCCCAUCCUUGCCAAGGACUUCUUGGAGCUCCCUUUGAGCUUUUGCCAUUUUUUCCGGGUUGUGUAGUAGCUCUGCCAUUGCCCACUCUAUUGUGCCUGAAGUGGUGUCAGUUCCCGCAAGAAAGAGAUCCUGAUCACACAAAGCAGCGUUAGAAUUAAGGUUCCAUUGAUCAUCGUUUACAAAUAUGCAGUUACCAACGUUUCCUACACGAAAUCUCAAGAAAAAUUGUACAAGAAAUAACUACAAGGAAGACUAACUUCUAAUUGAUUGUUUACUCAAGUGUUUAGGUCAAUUUCAGUUUAAUAACUUAACCAAUUUCACAGUUAAAAGUUAAAAGGAAAUGCAAUUGCAGGUACAUAAUAUAGAUACUUCAGUGGAGAAGUUACCAAGGAUUAGAUAGAAUGAUUUAUAAAUUAUUCCAAAAGUCACUAAAGCCAUUCUUCAUCAAAAUUAGGUUGUAGUUCAGCUAAAAGAUUGAGAAAUUCAAUCUUCUCGUGUGUGUAUAUAUAGGUGUUACUAUUGAAUGAAAUCCAUAUAUGCAGGAGGCAUUUAAAUAAGGAACUUAAAUUAUUCCAUAAUAUAUAUGAACUAGAUUCUUCAAUUCCAACGAAAGAGUAAAUCAUUACAAAUAGUAUCAUAGUCAACCUCAUUGGAGGAGUUUGUUUGGUCUUGCAUAAAUGUCUUAAUUUUGUAUAAUAACUACAACAUGGGAGGAAAGGUGUGGGUCUUAUAGUUAAAAGAUGACCAUACAAAUGUAUUUUGAAGCAAAGAUUGAGAUUCAAGAAAGCCAUGUCACUUUCUUGAAUUCCAUAAAAUAGUUUUACAUCUUUUAUGAAGUAAGCUUAUACUCUAAAAUGCAAUGUAAUGAAUGCAAAAGGUAGUUAAUAUGAUAUCUCAAAUCAAAGAAAGGAAAAAGUUUUAAUGCUAUAUAUGUUUGGAUUUUUUUUAAUUUUGUGGACGCGUUUUAAAAUCGUGAAAAAACAAUUGUUAUAAAUAAUAUCAACCCCAAGGUAAAGUUUGUUUGGCUAUAUAUGCAAGGGGUGUCUAUUUCUUGGCACUAUAUAUAUCUUAACUUUGAAUAAUAUCUUCAUGGGAAGGAGCAGGGCUCUAUCUACUGACACUAUAUAUAUGUCUUCACUUUGUAUAAUAUCUACAUGGAAGGAAGCAACGAAUGUAUGAGCUCUUUUUAACCUUGUAAAAAAUAAUAUCUACUUAGCUUGUAGACUACGAUAUCUACUUGAGAGGUACUAGUACAUCGUAUCAAAUGUAUAGUGAAGCAAAGAUUGAGAUAUGGUACUCACCAUAAGCAAAUGUAUAAUAUCUCUGCAGCUCCACUCUUGGUUAUUUUCUUCUGUGAGAUUGAGGAAGGCAUCUAGUACAUCGUUGCUUGCUGAUGAAGCUUUUGAUUGCAACCUUUGAUUGAUUAUACCUUCAAAAAUAUGAAUCAAUUUAUCGAGAUGAAUCUUCAUGUUUUGCUGUAUACCUUGUGGGUCAAUCAAUUUAAAGGCCGGGAAAUAAUCUGCAAAAUUGGGUCUUCCAGCGUCUUCCAUCACACGCCAUACAAUAUCCUUGAACUCUUGUGAAAAAGUAGAGGCGUGAUGAACCAAAUUAAUGGAGAAAAUGGUGUUUGAUAACAAAUUAAGGCUUGCUGUGAAGGUUGCUGCACCAAUAUCGACUGCACAACCCCUACCGCAACAUUCUUCCGCAUGGUCCAGCAGUUCCUGUACUAUUUUUCUCCUAAGGCCUUGGCUGGCUUCAAGCCGCUGCACCGAAAACAUUUCCCUGGUGCAUAUCUUCCUAAUCUUUCGCCAAUAAGCAGAUGCCGGACUCCAUACUACCGAAGAUUCAUGAUGGUUAUGGGCUUUGACGGCAUCUAGAACUACUCGGCCAGAGAAGGCUUGAUUAUUUCUGUGUAGGACCUCUUUGGCAGUUUCAGAAGAGGAAAUGACUAUGGUGGAAACACUCCCAAGCUUGAGAGACAUUACAGGGCCAUAAGUUUUGGAGAGAUUUGUAAGAGAUUGAUGAGGUUUGUCCCCAAGUUUGAGGAUGUUGCCGAUGAUUGGAAAGGGGCGGGGGCCUGGAGGGAGGCUGGCUGUACUGGGUUUCCGGCCAGUUGGACUGAGCUUGAGGAGAUGAAUGCAGGUCCACACAAAGGAAAGCAAAAGCAAAACUGUAAUGUAAUCCAUCGGCUAUCCCUUUCAAUACUACUCUUCUAUUCUUGAUGCUCCGAUUCUCCCCAUCUUCUGUGGUAUUUGUAUAGAAACAUGAGGACCAUGAACUGCUUAUCAACAAAUUAAUCACGGUUAUUUUGGUAUUUGUAUCAAAUGAAUUUAGUUUUUUUUGCCAAAUGCAUAAAUUAGGUUUUGAGGAGGCACUAAGAAAUGGAUGGCUUUUGGACAUUAAAGUGUCCAAAAGUAGGUAAGAAAUUAAUAAAUUAUUGAAAUCCAAGGGAAAAGUAGGUAAGAAAUUAUUGAAAUCCAAGAGACUUGUAAAAUUUGAAUUCUAAUAUCCACACGUGAUUUCCGUGUAUCCUACUCGACCAUGAGACUUGCAUGACUUGGACUCAACCAUCUAAAUGGAAAUUGUUUGAGAUUUAAUUAAUAGUAAAAUCCUAUUUCUUUUUUUUUUAUUGACAAUACUAAAAAUUUUAUUCAACAUAAAAAAAAUUUGUAUAAGACAAAAUAAAGCUUUGACAAGAAGAACAUUUUAUUAACUUUCAUAUUAAGUUUUUAAAAAAUCUUAAAUAAAUUAAUUAAGCAGCCAUAAAACCUUUUAUUGAACUUUAAAAAAGGUUUUUCUCUUCUCAUAAAUCAAACCAAGACAUAAACAUUUUAUGGAAAAACUUGGAAAAGUAGGUUGAUAUAUUUGAUUUGUGAACAUAACAAAAUUGAAUACAUAAAGAUGAAAAGUUAAGGUUUAUUUGGUUUUUCGAGAAUAGUAUUCAAAAACAUUUUCAAUCAUUUGAUAUAUAGUAAUGUUAUCGACUUUUUUUCUACAUUUUUAAAUAUUUCGUAAAAAUAUUUUUGAUAUAUAGUAAUUUAUUUUCAAUCAUUCUUCAUAUUUAUAUAUUUAUUUUUACACAUGAUUCCAAAAAGGCAAAAAAUAAGGGAAAAUAUUUCUUUCAGAAAUUAGAAUAUAAGUGAAAAUACCCUCUUUUUAAAAAAAAAUUACUAAAUUAAUGUAGUUUUUGAAUUGUAGAGGGGACCAACCAAUUCCUUUUCUGAUAGGGUUUACCUUUUCAAGCCCUUUUGAAUUGUAUAUUCAUUUUUCCAAACAUCUUUGUCUCGGCUCAUUUAUUUCAUAAACAUUUUUGUUUCAGUCGUCUGAAAAUGUCUACUCUGUUAUUGUUCCAAGUUCCUACAAUCAAGACACUACAUUAAACCAUGAUUUGGAUGACCCCGAUGACAAUAUUCAUAUUUAGUUCUUUCUUCUAUAUUGUAGAGCAAGACUACUAAAACUUCUAUCCACCCUUUUAGCUGUUUCUGAUUAAAGUGAUACAACAGAGAAAAAAACAAAUAUUUUGAAAAACUUGGGUGGGUAUUAGGUAAUGAUAGGGUAGAUAAACAACAUAGAAGUUACAUUCAUUACAACAUAAAAAUACAAUCAAACUUUGAUGGGAAUAGCCCGUAGAGGCUGGGCCUUCUGUAAUGUAAAUCCCAACUUCUCAUUCAUGUCCAUAUCUUCUGGUUUCAUACCAUCGUCAAGCUUCCAAGCAUAGGAAUGAAGAAGAGAGGCCAAUAUCAGGUGCACCAUCCUAUGAGCUAAUGGCAGUCCAAGACAUAUUCUUCUUCCAGCACCAAAUGGAAUCAACUCAAAAUCUCGGCCUUUGACAUCAAUAUCGCACCCCAGAAACCUCUCAGGCACGAAUGCAUUCGGGUUCGACCAAAUGCUUGGAUCACGACCGAUAGCCCAUGCAUUAAUUAGUACUUGGGAAUUCUUUGGAACUGUGAAGCCGCAUAUUUCUACAUCAGUUUCAGCUUUAUGGGGAACUAGCAGUGGGGCUGGUGGGUGCAGCCUAAAGGUCUCUUUAACUAUGCCUUGUAAGUAAGGGAGCUUUGAGAUGUCUGAUUCUUGAACUAUCCCAUCCUUGCCAAGGACUUCUUGGAGCUCCCUUUGAGCUUUUACCAUUGUUUCCGGGUUGUGUAGUAGCUCUGCCAUUGCCCACUCUAUUGUGUCUGAAGUGGUGUCAGUUCCCGCAACAAAGAGAUCCUGAUUAUACAAAGCAGAGUUAGAAUUUAGGUUUCAUUGAUCAUAGUUGGCAAAUAUGCAGUUACCAAUGUUUUCUACAUGAAUGGAAAAGAAAAACUGUACAAGAAAUAACUCCAAGGAAGACUAACUUCUAAUUGAUUGUUUACUUAAGUUUUUAAGUUAAUUUCAGUUUUAUAACUUAACCAAUUUCACAGUUAAAAGUUAAAAGGAAACGCAAUUGCAGGUACAUAAUAUAGAUACUUCAGUGGAGAAGUCACCAAGGAUCAGAUAUAAUGAUUUAUAAAUUAUUCCAAAAGUCACUGAAGUCAUUCUUCAUCAAAAUUAGGCUGUAGUUCAGCUAAAAUAUUGAGAAAUUCAAUCUUCUCGUGUAUAUAUAUAGGUGUUACUAUUGAAUGAAAUCCAUAUAUUCAGGAGGCAUUUAAAUAAGGAACUUAAAUUACUCCAUAAUAUAUAUGAACUAGAAGUGAUAUCAAAAAAAUAGAAUUCAGAAAAUAGUUUAACAUCUUUUAUAAAGUAGGGUUAUACUCUAAAAUGUAAUGCACAGAAUGAAAAUGAUAGUUAAUGUGAUAUCCCACAUCGGAAAAAAGAAAAAGUUUCUAACAUUGUAUAUAUGGUUUCUCUUAAUCUUAUAGAUGUAUUUUAAAGCCGUGAAGAAAUAAAUUUAUUACAAAUAGUAUGAGCUAGUCGAUCUCCAAUCCCAAUGAGGGGAGUUUGUUUGACCUUACAAAAGAUAUCAUUUGUUUCACCUACAAGGGAUCUUAACUUUGUAUAAUGCCUACAUGGGAGGGUGCUAUAUGUGUGUGGACUUGCUUGUAGAUGACAAUAUCUACUUGGGAGGAAGGAAGUUGGUCCUUAUAGAAAGAUGAUUAAUACUAAUAUAUAGUGAAGCAAGGAUUGCGAUAAGGCACUCACCAUAAGCAAAUGUAUAAUAUCAUUGCAGCUCCACUCUUGGUUAUUUUCUUUUGUGAGAUUGAGGAAGGCAUCUAGUACAUCGUUGCUUGCUGAUGAAGCUUUUGAUUGUACCCUUUGAGUGAUUAGACCAUCAAAAAUAUCAAUUAAUUUACCAAAAUGAACCUUCAUGUUCCGCUGUAUACAUUGUGGGUCAAUCAAUCUGAAGGCCGGGAAAUAAUCUGCAAAGUUGGGUUUUCCAGCUUCUUCCAUCACACCCCAUACAAUAUCCUUGAACUCUUGUGAAAAAGUAGAAUCAUGAUGAGCCAAAUUAGUGGAGAAAAUAGUGUUCGAUAACAAAUUAAGGCUUGCUGUGAAGGUUGCUGCACCAAUAUCGACUGCACAACCCCUACCGCAACAUUCUUCCACAUGGUCCAGCAGUUCCUGUACAAUUUUUUUCCGAAGGCCUUGGCUGGCAUUGAGCCGCUGCACCGAAAACAUUUCCCUGGUGCAUAUCUUCCUAAUCUUUCGCCAAUAAGCAGAUGUCGGACUCCAUAUCACUGAAGAUUCAUGAUGGUUAUGGGCUUUGACAGCACCCAGGACUUCUCGGCCGGAGAAGGCUUGAUCAUUUCUGUGUAGGACCUCUUUGGCGGUUUCGGGAGAGGAAACGACUAUGGUGGAAAUACUCCCAAGCUUGAGAGACAUUACAGGGCCAUAAGUCUUGGAGAGAUUUGUAAGAGAUUGAUGGGGUUUGUCCCCAAGUUUGAGGAUGUUGCCGAUGAUUGGAAAGGGGCGGGGGCCUGGAGGGAGGCUGGCUGUACUGGGUUUCCGGCCAAUUGGACUGAGCUUGAGGAGAUGAAUGCAUGUCCACACAAAGGAAAGCAAAAGCAAAACUGUUAUGUAAUCCAUGGCGAUCCCUUUCUAUACUACUCUUCUAUUCUUGAUGCUCCCUUUCUCCCUAUCUUCUGUGGUAUUUGUAUAGAAACAACACGACCAUGAACUGCUUAUCAACAAAAUCAUGGUUAUUUUGGUUUCUGCGUCAAAAAUAUUCAAACUUGAAAAAGAGAGACUUGUAAAAUUUGAAUUCUAAUAUUCAUACUUGAUUUCCAACCAUAAGACUUGUAAGACUUGUACACGACCAUCUUGAAAAUGUGAAUCUCAAUAAUGGACUACACCUAGAGGGGGUUGAAUAGGUGUUGUAGAACAAUUUAAAAAUUCUCCCAACAAAUAUUACCUAACCUUAGACUAUCUUAAUGUCAAGAAACUUUUCUUCCAACAACUUUUCAACAAAACAUAACAUCCACAAGCAAAAAUAUAUGCAACAACACUCUCCCAACAAUUUAUCAAUGUAAAACACAUGCAAAUGCUUCAACACUCCUCAAAAAUAAAUCAAAAUGUAGAGUGAGAGAAAGAGACAAUGAACACCAGAUUUUUAACGUGGAAAACCUCCGAAGAGAUCAAAAACCACGGGCCUAUCAUCGAUUGAAAAACUCCACUAUGAAGAAUAAAAACUAAGUACAAGGUUUUACCUAGGGUCAACCAAUCCUUCCCGAACUACUUGACUAGUACCUUCAUUUUCAGUUUCUCCCUUCUUCUUUCGGAGCACACUUGGAGUCCGCACCAAGCUCAAUCCCGGCCUCUUCUUGAAUCCACACAAGAAGAAAAUGGGUAUGUACCCAAACCCAAAUAGAAUGAGAGAUUGAGAUGUGAAUAAAGGAAUGAAUCAACCCAUUUAUUGCUCAAGAAAACCCAUUAAAAACUUGUUUGGAAAACAUUAAAAGAAGUGGAUUUUCUUUGCAAUCAAAAACCCCAAAUUAGGAAAACAAAAUGAGAAAAUAAAGAACACAAGGAGUGUGGCUGCUCUCUCCACGUUUUCUGCAACCACAACUCACAAAAAUGAGAGAAGAUUGCUUUUUAAAGUGUAAAAAAAAACCCUUAAUCUAAUGGCUGAGAUUUGAUCAAAAAUGAAUUAGUUGGAUUGAUCCACCCUUGCACCUGGAUCGAUCCAGAAACAAGGGAAUGAAAGUUUUGCACCAAAAACCAUUUCUCCCAACUUUCUAACACAUUUAAAGAUUAAAAACCAGGUUGAUUCACAUCCAAUCACCACACACUCGGCUACAUACCUUGGUCUCUUAGCAAAGUUUUAGUCUUCAAAGUCAAGUAGUCCGAAUAGGAAUUUGAAAGCCGAGUUAAGGGAUACUUAGGAAUUUUGUUCGGAAUUGCCAACCUAGCUAAACACUCACACAUCUAAAUGGAAAUUGUUUGAGAUUUUAUUAGCAGUAACAUUCUAUUUUUUCUUUAUUGACAAUACUAAAAAUUUUAUUCAACGAGAAAAAUCUCUUGUAUGAGGCAAAAUAAAGCUACGACAAAAGUAACAUUUUAUUAACUUUCAUAUUAAGUUUUUUUAAAAUCUUAAAUAAAUUAAUUAAGUAAACAUAAAACCUUUUAUUGAACUUUUAAAAAGAAAGUUUUUCUCUUCUUAUAAAUCAAACCAAGACGUAAGCAUUCUAUUUGAAAAAGUAGGUUGAAAUAUUUGAUUUGAGAACAUAACAAAAUUGAAAACAUAAAAAUGGAAAAUUAAGGUUUAUUUGGUUUUUUGAGAAUAGUAUUCAAAAACAUUUUUAUUGAACUUUCAAUGUUCUAAGUUUGAGAACUUGUAAUGUUAUCAACUUUUUUUCUACAAUAUUUUUAAAUAUUUUUUAAAAAUAAAUUUAGUUUCCAUCAUUCCUUAUAUUUAUAUAUUUAUUUUUUCAAAAGAUUCCAACAAGACAAAAAAUAUGGGAUCAUAUUUCUUUCAGAAAUUAGAAAAUAAGUGAAAAUACCCUCUCUUUUUUUCAGAAAUUACUAAAUUAAUGUAGUUUUUGAAUUGUAAAAGGGACCAACCAAUCCCUUUUCUGAUUCGGUUUGCCUUAUCAAGCCCUUUUGACUUUAAACCGGUGGUAACCGAUGAACCGUCCAGUCUGUCGAAGUAGCCCAUAGGGUAAAUUUGUCAAAGCAUUGUAUGGGCCAUAAAUUAUGCCUCACUUAUUUCCCAGCUUUUAUAUUCGUUUUUCCAAACAUCUUUGUCUCAUCUCACUUAUUUCAUGAAUAUUUUUGUUUCAAUCGUUAAAAACGUUAGCUCUGUUAUUGUUCCUACAAUAAAGACACUACAUUAAACCAUGAUUUCAAUUAAUCAUUCGAUGACUCCGAUGAGUAUAUUCCUCUUUAGUUCUUUCUUCUAUAUUGUAGAUCGAGACUACUAAAAAUUCCAUCCACCCUUUUAGCUGUUUCUGAGGCAAGUGACACAACAAAGUAAAAUCAAAUAUUUUGAAAACCUUGGGUGGGUUUUAGGUGAUGAUAGGGUAGCUAGAUAAACAACAUAGAAGUUACAUACAUGAAAACCUAAAAAUACAAUCAAACUUUGAUGGGAAUAGCCCAUAGAGGCUGGGCCUUCUGUAACAGGGUUCAAAAUCUCGGUCAAUACCGGUACGACUCGACUGAGUCAUAUCCGCCUCGAUCAUGGCUAGUACCGGACCAAUACCCGAGUUGGAUAUUUUGUUAGCUUGUGAACAAACUCAGUGGAGUAGAAAUAGUGGAGAAGAUGAGAGGAUCAAAACCCAUGAAAAUGAAAAAUGCAGAUUACAGAGAGUUAGAACACUCCAUCUUGGAGUCGCCGGCGAGGUCGAAGAAGCACGCUUGCUUGUUCGGAUCCCCCAAGUUCCCACCGGAGAUGAAACUGAGCGACAUGAGGAGAAGGUAGAGUCGUCAGACUCUGGCACCGCUGUUGUCGACGAAGAACGAUGGUGAGGUGGCUGAUGGAAGUGGGAGAAGAGAGAAAGUUGGCCUACAGAGGAGCUGCCUGAGACUUGUGAGUUUAGAGGAGAAAGGGAUGGGUGUUUGACUGCCAGUUGAGGGUUAUGGAUAAAGAUGAGGAUUUGAAUUUUAAAUAGUAUGUAUUUGUUUUUUUUAAGUACAUAAUGAAUAUUUGAUGGGGAUUUGGACUUUAAAUAAUUUGAUGAAAAUUAUAAUGAUAAAAAAUGAAUAAUGAAUAAUGAAUAUUAGACUUAUAUCAAAUAAAUAGGAAAUGAAUAUUUAUAUAAAAAUUAAAAUUAAUGAAUAUAUUUUAUAAAAAAAAAUUAUAUUUAUUUUUUUAAAGAUGAAUCAUGGUUUUAUUUUUUUAAUAAUUAAAAAUAUAUUUUUAAAAAAUCAAAAUAUUUAAUUUAAAUAAUUUUUUAUAAAAAAAAUUACUUUUUAUUAUUUUCAUCUUCAAUAAGAAACAUUUAUUAUCAAGUGAUUAAAUUAAAAUAUUUUUAGAGAUUUCUAAUAGUAUUAUAAAUCAUCCCAAAAUAUGCUUUUAUUAUAAUUUGAAUAAUUUGAAUAUAAUAGAAGUUUAUUUUAUUAAUUUUUUACUCUACUUAUUUGUAUUUAACUUUUUAAAAAUUUUUAAAAUUAUUUUGAGCUCUUAAAUUAGAAUUUUUUGCGUAUCACCCAAUAUCGAUUUGAGAUAUCGAGACCGAUGUGCCUCAGGACUUCCCAAGUCAAUGACCGAUACUGCGACUUUAAACUAUGCCUGAGACUUGUGGGUUUAGAGGAGAAAGAGAUGGGUGUUUGACUGCCAGUUGAGGGUUAUGGGUAUAGAUGAGGAUUUGAAUUUUAAAUAGUAUGUAUUUGUUUUUUUUUAAGUACAUAAUGAGUAUUUGGUGGGGAUUUGGAUUUUAAAUAAUUUGAUGAAAAUUAUAAUGAUAAAAAAUGAAUAAUGAAUAUUAGACUUAUAUCAAAUAAAUAGGAAAUGAAUAUUUAUAUAAAAAUUAAAAUUAAUGAAUAUAUUUUAUAAAAAAAAUUAUAUUUAUUUUUUUAAAGAUGAAUCAUGGUUUUAUUUUUUUAAUAAUUAAAAAUAUUUUUUUUAAAUCAAAAUAUUUAAUUUAAAUAAUUUUUUAUAAUAAAAAAUUACUUUUUAUUAUUUUCAUCUUCAAUAAGAAACAUUUAUUAUCAAGUGAUUAAAUUAAAAUAUUUUUAGAGAUUUUUAAUAUUAUUAUAAAUCAUCCAAAAAUAUGCUUUUAUUAUAAUUUGAAUAAUUUGAAUAUAAUAGAAGUUUAUUUUAUUAAUUUUUUACUCUACUUAUUUGUAUUUAACUUUUUAAAAAUUUUUAAAAUUAUUUUGAGCUCUUAAAUUAGAAUUUUUUGCGUAUCACUCGAUACCGAUAAGAGAUACCGAGACCGAUGUGCCUCAAGACCUCCCGAGUCAAUGACCAAUACCGUAACUUUAAACUAUGUUCUGUAAUGUAAACCCCAACUUCUCAUUCAUGUCCAUAUUUUCUGGUUUCAUACCAUCGUCAAGCUUCCAAGUAUAGGAAUGAAGAAGAGAGACCAAUAUCAGGUGCACCAUCCUAUGAGCUAAUGGCAAUCCAAGACAUAUUCUUCUUCCAGCACCAAAUGGAAUCAACUCAAAAUCUCGGCCUUUGACAUCAAUGUCACACCCUAAAAACCUCUCAAGCACGAAUGCAUUCGGGUUCAACCAAAUGCUUGGAUCACGACCAAUAGCCCAUGCAUUAAUUAGUACUUGGGAAUUCUUUGGAACUGUGAAGCCGCAUAUUUCUACAUCAGUUUCAGCUUUAACAAGAACUAGCAGUGGGGCUGGUGGGUGCAGCCUAAAGGUCUCUUUAACUAUGCCUUGUAAGUAAGGGAGCUUUUAUGUCAUGCCCCAAGACCCACUCCAAGGGCGUGACGGUCAUUUCACACUUCAAACUCGAAGGCUUACAGUGUAACCUAACCCAAACAAUUAUCUUGUAAUCGGAAGUUACCAAUUACCAAAUACCUGUUCAGAGUAGCGGAACAAAAUCUAAAAUCCUCAAAAUUCAAUUUCAAAACUAAAACAUCCACUAUCCAAAAUCCAUUGUCCAAAUAUUUGCAAACUUAAACAAUUCAAGUACUAUAACAAAUUUCAAAAUCUCCAAAACUCAACUUUGAUCUAACAUAAAAUUUGAAGGAUCAAUAUCCAAAUAACUUCCAAAUACCAAAAGAUCCAAAUGAACAUAACUAACAGUUGAACAAAAUCCAACAUAAAAUCGUAAGUCAAAUCCUAAUGAUGACCAUUCCUCAGCCUAGCCAUCACUCCUCACCCAAACUAAGGGUACCUGAAAAGUAGUCAACAAAUGGGAAUGAGCUCACAGCCCAAUAAGGAACAUUAAUGCAGUCCAUGGAUUAAAUAUUUCAAACUCACUUGCAAAAUAGGAGAUAUUGUAAUCAAUCAUUUUCAUAAAGCUGAGUAAAUUUUUAUUUUUAUUUUUUUUGCCAAUACAUUCAAAAUUUCUAAAUGUAUGCAUUUAUUUCUGAUUCAAACAAUUUCAUAUCAAAUUCAAUCAAAACAUUCCAAUAAUUUAUUUACUCUGGUCAUCAAACAUCAAAGGGUGCCCAAUUAGGUGGGACUUUUCAAAUGGGUGGUUAGCCUCAAAUUGUUCCUUUAAGGUGGAUGGAACCAAACACUACUAGUACUAGUAACCUCUAAUCGAAACCCCUAGAGGCUGAGGUUCAAAUCAAUUACAUUUCCCACCAAGAAAUGUAAAGGCCAACUAUUAUAUCCCAUUGACAAGGGCCAAAAAUCAACUAUAAUAUCCCGUUGACAAGGGCCAAAUAAACCAGAUUCAAAUAUUUAUUUCAUUUAUUCAAAUUUACAACAUAUAAUAUCUCCACAUUUAUUUGUCAAAAACAUAAUAUAAAAUUCUAACAUACUUUUCAUGCAAAAUAGGUUUGAUCCAUGCAUAAAACGGAAUAUAACUCAAACGUUUUCAAAUAAUGUAUAUAUAUAUAUAUAUAUAUAUAUAUAUAUAUAUAUAAAAUUGUUUCAAAAAAGAAUUUAACAACUGCAUUAAUUUCCCUUACCUCAAAAGAAGUCCUCAAAAACUUUGGAGAGAAAAUAAUCCUGAAAAUCUACUCUUCACCUAACAAAAUAUGAGAGGAAUAACUAUUACUAUUUAUCUAUAAUUUAACUAAUCUAUUCCUUAUUGAAAUAAAUUAAUAAAUUCCCAAUUUGUUUCUAAUAACACAAAGCCCUGCCAUUAUUAAAUAAUACAGUACUCAGUACUCAAGUACUCAUCAAAGUCUAACAAUACGGAGUCCUACUACUAUUAAAUAUUACAUACCCAAGUAUCCAUCAAAGCCUAAUAAUAGAAUAUGUGAAAAUCCACCAACUAGAGUUCAACCAUGAAAUCCUUACAAAAAAAAGUGGAUGCAUAGUUCCCACACGCAUGCGACCAGUGCACACACGUUUUUUUUUUUGUUAAAAAAAACUUAAGAUCUCCCAAAUUCCAACAAUAAAUCAAAACCUUAAAUUUUCACUAUUUGAUAUUAAAAUGAAUUAAAAAAAUAAACUAACCCUAAUCUAGAUUUGGGGUUUUCCAAAAAAAUAUAUCUAAUGUGCUCGAAAUUAACUAAUGAAUCUAAAAUAAUAAUCUAGGGGUUAGAAUCUUACCUAUAGAGGUUUGUUCUUCAAACCUUGAAAUCUGACCUCAACUUCACGUUCUCUGGAAACUCUCUGCAAACAGGAACGCGAUUCAGAAAAGAACAGGAAGAAGAGAAAUUUUCUAUUUAUACCUAGGGUAUUAUUAGUAAAAUUACCUUUUCACCCCUCUUCCAUUUUAUUAAAUUAAUUAAUUAAUUAAUCUAAUAUCAUUAUUAUGAAUUUCCUAAAUUACCCUUUAAAAAAAAAACUUGGGCAUUACAUUUUAGAUGUCUAAUUCUUGAACUAUCCCAUCCUUGCCAAGGACUUCUUGGAGCUCCCUUUGAGCUUUUACCAUUGUUUCCGGGUUGUGUAGUAGCUCUGCCAGUGCCCACUCUAUUAUGUCUGAAGUGGUGUCAGUUCCCGCAACAAAGAGAUCCUGAUCAUACAAAGCAGAGUUAGAAUUUAGGUUUCAUUGAUCAUAGUUGGCAAAUAUGCAGUUACCAAUGUUUUCUACAUGAAUGGAAAAGAAAAAUUGUACAAGAAAUAACUCCAAGGAAGACUAACUUCUAAUUGAUUGUUUACUUAAGUUUUUAAGUUAAUUUCAGUUUUAUAACUUAACCAAUUUCACAGUUAAAAGUUAAAAGGAAACGCAAUUGCAGGUACAUAAUAUAGAUACUUCAAUGGAGAAGUCACCAAGGAUCAGAUAUAAUGAUUUAUAAAUUGUUCCAAAAGUCACUGAAGUCAUUCUUCAUCAAAAUUAGGCUGUAGUUCAGCUAAAAUAUUGAGAAAUUCAAUCUUCUUGUGUAUAUAUAUAUAUAUAUAUAUAUAUAUAUAUAUAUAGGGGUUUAAUUAAAUAAAUUAUAGUAUAUAAUUAAUUAAUAGGUUUGGUCUGGUCUUAACUGACGAAACCACUUAGAGGAAGUGUGAAUAGGUAAGAACAACUUUCUAACAUCAAGAAAGAACCUCCCGAUAUCGAUCUCCCCUCCUCGUUAAGAUCCAAUGAAAGAAGUAGCCUACUGCUUUCUAAACCUGGAUGCGAUGUGAGGCAGUAUAGAAUGUACUACACUCAAAAAUACCAAAUAGUCAAGUUGGUUUGAUCACAUCAAUCAAGAGAAUAUAAAUGGGUAAGAGACAAGCUUCCUCAUAAAGAGCAUGAGCAAUAGCCACACACUCAGCUCGUAAGAGAGUCAGAAUAUUAGAAACCAUAGGAGGAUCAAUGCCUUAAUAUGGACACACAUCCCCAAGUUAAUUUUGACAAAUCUAUACAGAAGAUGCAACAAAGUCUAAACCAUAUAUCAAAACACUAAAAUAUACUCUAGGAAUAUACAAAUAAUAGAUGUUAUCAUAGAACAUUCAAGUGCAGUGAUUAGGGUAUAUAGCCAUUUGAAUAGACAUAAUAGUUGUUAGACAACAACCAGAUAUAGUUUGUUUUAUUUGUAUCUAUCUUAUUGUUGUAACUAUCAUCCUUUAAUCAUGUAAGUAGUUAGCUGAUUUUAUGCUAUUUCAAACUCUAUAAUUCAGCUAUAUAAAGCUGCUCUUGUAUUCAUUAUUAACACAGCAAUAUAAUACAAACAUUCAUUCUCAUAUUAUCUUUACAUGGUAUCAGAGCCCUCAUUCUAAUUUUCUGAUCAAUCAUGACUUCUUCUCAAAUGAUUCCUUCAAAUUCAAUCUCUUCUUCUGCUCAUCAUACCUUCUCUGUCAAGCUUACUCCAAGAAAUUAUCUUGCUUGGAAAACUCAAUUUAAUCCUCUUCUUAAUUACCAAAAUCUAACUGGGUUUGUUGAUGGUUCAACUGUUGCUCCAUCGAAAACAAUUAAAGAUUUUUCUACUCCUCCUACUGAGAUUUCAAAUCCAGAAUAUGAAACAUGGUAUAAAAAGGAUCAGAUGUUUCAUUCUUGGAUCCUUUCUUCUCUUUCAGAAGAGAUAUUUCCUUAUGUUAUUAGGUUAUCUUCAUCUUAUGAAGUAUGGCAGGCUCUCUCUCAAGCUUUUGGUUCAGUUUCUCAAAACCGACAGCUGCAAUUGCACAUUGAACUCCAAGAAUUGAAGAAAAACGAUCUCUUUAUCUCAACAUAUUUGUAGCGUGCUAAAGCUCUAGCUUAUGAGCUAAAUGCGGCAAGUCGUCCUCUUACCCCAGCAGAAUUUAAUGCAAUAAUUUAUCACAAUAUUGGCAGUGACUAUCAUGCCAUUAUCGCUGCCUUAAAUCUUCGUUCUAAACCAGUGUCAUUUCAUGAACUCCAUGGUCAACUUAUUGCUCAUGAAAUUUUACUUAAAGAGUUCUACUGAUCUUCCUCAAGCAAACAUGGUGACUUGUUAGUCUAAUUCUGCUCCAUUGCUUCCCACUCCAUCUCAGAAUAAUAAUCACAAGAAAUCUUCGAAUUGGAAUGGAAAUCGACCCCGUGGUCCUUGCCAAAUCUGUGGCUAUAGAAACCAUACUACUGAUCAUUGUUGUCGUCGAUAUUCUCGUUACAACUCUCACAACCAAAAUGCAACUCCUCAUGUUAAUUACUCUUCAGCUGGUCAUUCUCAAAAUAAUUGUGCAAGUUCUCAAGUUCCUGUUGCCAACUACACUCAUGGAGGUUCCAAUAUGCCUUGGCAUCCUGACACAGCAGCGAACUAUCACAUCAUCCCUGAUUUAGCCAAUCUCAACAUUACUCAUGACUAUAACGGACAUGACCGGCUCCAUGUUGGUAAUGGACAAGGUUUGCAAAUACCUCAUACUAGUAUCACAUCCCUUCCUUCAUCUUCUGGUUCUCUCUCUUUAAAAAAUGUUCUCUAUGUUCCUUAAAUUGUCAAAAACUUACUUUCAGUUCAAAAAUUUGCCACUGAUAAUUCCUGCUUCUUUGAAUUUUGGCCCUCUUAUUUUCUUGUCAAGGAUCAGGUGUCCAAGAAAAUCCUCCUGCAGGGCCCAAGUGAAGAUGGAGUGUACACUUUUUGCCCUAAUGUCAAGCAAGCAUUUACAACUAAAGCACCAACUAUGGACCAAUGGCAUGCUGCUUUGGGACAUCCUCAACGGCAUAUCGUGUCUAGUUUAAUCAAGCAAUUUCAUUUACCUUGUUCCAGUAAUUCUAGUUCUCUUUGUUCUUCUUGCAUUUUGGGCAAACAUGCUAGACUAUCUUUAGGAUCAGUUCAACAUAAAAGCACUGCUUCCUUUCAACUUAUUUACUCUGAUGUUUGGGGCCCUGCUCCUUUGUUGUCCAGUCUUGGCCAUCGCUAUGCUCUUAUUUUCGUUGAUGAUUAUUCCUGUUACACAUGGGUUUAUUUGAUUAAAAAUAAAAGUGAUGUUUAUUAUGUCUUUCUUCAAUUUGAGCAAUUCAUUCAUCGUCAAUUUAAUCAGAAAAUUUUGGCAUUCCAUUCGGAUUGGGGAGGGGAAUAUCGAAAACUAAACACCUAUUUUAAACAAGUUGGCACUGUUCACGGACUUGCAUGUCCUCAUACUCAUGAACAAAACGGUGUCGCAGAAUGAAAAAUUCACCAUCUUGUUGAUACUAGUCUUGCACUUCUUGCUCAUGCUAAUUUACCACUAUGAUAUUGGAAUUAUUGAUUACUACUCAAAAAGUACUUUUUUAUAGCUUGAAACUAACUAUUUUAAAUACUUUUAAGUAGUAGUUAAUACAUUUUAACUCAAUUGGCACAAUAAGGAACCUAGCAAGGGUUACUAAUAAGUUUUUGGCAAGUUUUGGUGUUUUUGGUAGCUUUAUGAUCAUUAAAACAAGCCAAAAAUGAGGGAGAAUUGGGUGAAAUCCAUGGCAAUGCAAAUUAAAGUUCAAAUACAUGAAGAAUCCAAGCUUUGGAGCAUUUCAUAGCUCUUUGCCAAGCCAAUCAGAGAUGCAAGGAAGAAAACCAGAGAAAGAGAUCCAACAACAAGCAAUUUCGCAUAGUUGUGCGAAAUUUCGCACACCAUGCGAAACCACUUGAAGCAGCCAAAGAAAUUUCGCACACCAUGCCAAAUUUCUCAUGGUAUGCGAAAUCUUCCUGUGCACCAACUCCGUUAGAUUUUUAUCUUCAGAUAUUUUGUGUAACCAACUUAGAUAUUUUCUUUAAUAUCUUUUUAUAUAUCUUUUAGGUAGCUUAUAUAUAAGGAGAGAGAGACAGUGGAAAGAGUAUGGAUGUUUUUCAUUAAACACUUGUAAAAUUCCCGUAGUAAGAAAUAUACAGAGCUUUUGCUCUGCCUUUCCUUCUCAUUUUUGUUUUCAUUUUUCUUUCUAGCCAAACAACCACUGAGGAUGAUUUCUCAGGGGAUGAGUGGCUAGGUUUUACGUUUCUUGGAGUGAUGGAAGCUAGGUGAAGGACCUGAAUGCAAAGGCGGGAGUUGUCCUUGCUUUAAAUGAAAGUAGUUGUUAACCAUUAAUGGUUUUUAUUUUAAGGUUUAGCUUUAAAUCCCUUAAAAUCACCUUAAAUGCCCAAUACUUGGUAAGCUUUUCGGAUUCCAUGGAUGCUUAUUGCUAGAUCCAUGGAUGUCUAUCAGUUAUCAUUUACGAGCCAUUGGAAGGCGGUUCAAGAGGAGAAUAUUUAGUGUUUGAAGCCAUUAAUGGGAAGCAACUAUCAAUUUCCAUGAACCCUUGGAUCAAAUCUUAAUUGCUAAAUAUAAAACCGGUUCGGGAGAUAACCAUCCUUUAUGUUAUUGUCCCCAAUGCGAGGAAAAGAUCUGGAAUCUCCCCCUUUGUCUAAGGAACCCGAUCCUAGUGACCUAAAGCUCCAAGAGACCUUUUCUUUAUAGUUAACUUCACUUAUUGUUUUUGCUUAACUUAAAAUCAAUCUUUGCAACCACAAUUCCAUUUUCUUUAAAAGCUAAUUUUCAUAAGAAAAAACACCAUUUUAUUUCCUUCAUUUAAGUCAACUGUACGAUGAAAACCCAUCCCUAUGAACGAUCCUAGAGCCAUUAUACUAUGUUAGCUAUGCUACCCUAGUGUGAUGUGAUUUAGGUUUUAUAAAUUUUGUUGAUAACACCCGUCUGAGCUAGAAUCAAAUGGCAUGACUGUAAUGGGGACGAAUCAAUUAUGCAUUUGAAAUGAGCUGUUCUUCUAUUAAUAAUUUGCCCACUCCGGUUCUUAAUCAUUCUUCCUCAUACUUUGUUUUAUUUCACAAAUAUCCUGAUUAUUCUACUCAAAAUCCUUUUGGGUGCAUUAUUUUUCCUCUAUUACGUCCAUAUAAUAACCAUAAGUUUGCAUUUCGGAGCACUCCUUGUGUCUAUCUUGGUCUAAGUCUCUCUCACUCGGGUAGUUGCUGUCUUAAUUUAUCAAAUGAUGGGGUCUAUAUUGCUAGGCAUGUUGUUUUUAAUCCUAGCCUCUUUUUGUAUCGUUCUCAUAUUGUAGCAUCUCAAGCUCCAAAGGACUCUUCAAAUUUCCCGUGGCUUCACAUUAAAAGUGUACCUCCAUCAUCCAAGGGUUCUGUUGGAAAUUCAGGUCAAACCUCUACUCCCUCUAAUAUUCCUUUAUUUUCUACCACUGAUCAAUCUUUAAAUAAUUCCUUAUUGUCAGCUCAGUCCCCACCUUUGACCACGCCACUCUCCUCUCACUCUCCUAUCCCACAACAAUAACCUUCAUUAGAUUCAACCGUUGAUCCUCCAUUAUCUCUUAAUGUUGAUCUCAACUAUUAUCCAGCUCAACUAAAUGUUGCGUCUUCUACCUCAACCUCUCCUCCUCGAAUUCACCCCAUGCAGCUUCGUUCUUCCACCAUGCAAAAACGACAUGCUUGUCUUUCCACCAAAGCUAAAAAUUACCUUAUCACAGAACCACAAACCUUCACUCAAGCCAAACCAUAUGUUGAAUGGCAUGAUGCAAUGCAAAGUGAAAUUAAUGCCUUGUUUUAGAAUCACACAUGGGUUCUUGUUCCUCAACCUCCAACUGCCAAUAUCAUUGGCAGUAAAUGGGUUUAUCGAAUUAAAAGGAAAGCUAAUGGGGAGAUAGAUCGAUUUAAGGCUCGGCUCGUUGCGAAAGGUUACUCACAGCAGCCUGGUAUUGACUACACUGAUACCUUUAGUCCUGUGGUUAAAGCUACUACAAUUCAGACUAUUUUAUCAAUUGUUACUUCUUCACAUUGGCCAAUCCACCAACUUGAUAUCUCAAAUGCGUUUUUACAUGGUUUUAUUGAUUCAGAUAUUUAUAUGGAGCAACCCAUUGGCUUUAAAGACUCUUCACAUCCAGACUAUGUGUGUAAGUUGUCUAAGUUGUUGUAUAGUCUCAAACAGGCCCCUCGGGCUUGGUUUCACAGACUCACUUCCUUUCUGUAGGACCUUGGUUUUCAAGCUUUAAAGGUUGAUUCUUCUUUGUUUAUUCUUCAUCAAGGUGCUCUUAAAUUCUAUGUUCUAAUUUAUGUGGAUGAUAUCCUCCUUACUUGCUUUGAUUCUACAAAACUGGAUUGGUUUUUAAGUAAGAUCAGAUCAACCUUUCCAGUUCGAGACCUUGGAUCCCUUCAUUUCUUCUUGGGUAUUGAGGCAUAAUUUUCGGCUGAUGGUCUUCUCAUCACCCAACGAAAGUACAUUACUGAUCUACUGGCCAAUUCUAACAUGUCUUACUAUAAGCUUUGUCAUACACCUAUGUCGACCAACCCUCCGCUUUCCAAACUCUUUGGUGAUCCUUUAUCAAAUGCAGAGCAAUAUCGCCAAGUGGUUGGAUCCUUGUACUACAUUACUCUGACCAAACUUGAUAUCUCAUUCUCGGUCAAUAAAUUAUCUCAAUUUAUGCAUCAACCCACUCAAGAACAUUGGACAGCAGUUAAGAGGCUAUUGCGUUAUCUUAAGGCUACUGUUGGUUUCGGUUUGUUCUUCUCCAAGCAUUCCAUUCUUGAUUUGCAAUGCUUCACUAACAAUGAUUGGGGUGGUUGCCCCGAUGAUUGUCGAUCAACAAAUGGUUAUGCAGUCUAUCUGGGCAAAAAUCUUAUUUCAUGGACUUCGAAGAAAUAGCCAACCAUUGCCCCAUCUUCCACCGAGAGUGAAUAUCGUGUUCUUGCUAACUCUACUGCUGAAAUUAUGUGGCUUCGAUCACUUCUCUCUAAACUUGGCUUCUCUUCCUCAAAUCCUGCUACAUUAUGGUGCAAUAAUGUGGGAGCUAUUUAUCUAUGUUCGAAUCCUGUCUCUCAUGCCCGAACAAAACAUAUUGAACUUGACUAUCAUUUCAUUCAAGAACAAGUCCAACAAUGCAACAUUCAGGUUCGUUUUAUUUCUUCAGAUGACCAGAUUGUUGAUAUUCUUACCAAACCACUUGGUCAGUGUCUACUUGUUAAGCACCGAGACAAGCUUCGGCUUUGUUCUUCUCCGCCUUCAACUUGACAAGGAGUGUAAGAGCAACAACCAGAUAUAUUUUGUUUUAUUUGUGUCUAUCUUAUUGUUGCAACUAUCAUCCUUUAAUCAUGUAAGUAGUUAGCUGAUUUUAUGCUAUUUCAAACUCUGUAAUUCAGCUAUAUAAAGAUGCUCUUGUAUUCAUUAUUAACACAGCAAUAUAAUACAAACAUUCAUUCUCAUAUUAUCUUUACAAUAGCCUUCCACCUCCAGUCAUAGGAAAUGUAGGGAAUAUGAGUACCCAAACUUAGAAAAAAAUCAUAUAGCACACUUUGCCUCAACAUGUCUCUCAAAGAAUCUAUCAUAGAAUGCAGUCCUAUGUUUCAUAAAGUAGAAAUAAUGAAUGGGAAGGUUAUAUUGUAUAGGAUUGAUGAAUAGGUGUCCUAACAUGAGGAGACCUAGAAUGAGAAGCAGUCAACUUCUAGACCCACCUCUACCAUAGGUCAUAGGAAAAAUAAGAGAAAAUUUUGGAAAUAGAAAUUAAUCUAGGAAAGUGUAAGAUCAAAAGUGUCCUAAACAUUGAGCUUCGAGGCCCAUUAAAGUCAAUUAUAAAGAGAAAUUGCAAGAAAAUCUUAUGAGGGAAGAGCAACGAAUGUUAGAAGAGAAAGGAGAUAAAAAUGGACACAUAUAGUGAAUAUCAAGUGUUGGUGCACUUUUAAAAUUAAGGACAUUUGAACAUCUCAUAAAGAGUGUGUAAACCCUUAAUUUUGUUCUGAUUAAUAUGAUAUAGGCUUAUUUAGAUGUAGUCUUUUGACUUACCAUUUCUCUCGACUUUAUUUUAUUCCAUUUUAUAAUUAUUUUUAUUUAUCUUUUUCACUUUUAUUCUCUAUUCUUUCUCAGUUCUUCCUUACCUUACUUUUUAUUCUCUCCACACAUCACCAUACAUGCACCAUGAUUACACUUCCAUUAAUUUCAAAAGAAACAAACAAUUUCCUCCAUUUGUUUUUUAGAAAGGAAUGUGGGUAUAUCUAAGCCAAACUAGAAGUGGGACUUGUGUUGUUGAGUGAUCAUUGUACAUUCAAAUCUAACAGUAAGAUACUGGAGUCCUCCGCGUUAAUUAAUUUUCCAGAUGAUAUAUUGUUGUCAACAUAAUGUUUGGGAAACACCCCAAUUUGCCACUUAGUUGGCCAAUCUCUACCAUCCUACCAAACACAUUUCUUUUUCUUUCCUUCACUCACUGUUUUACUAAUCUACUUGCAGGGUUACUUUCAACAAUGAAGGAUGGACCACAGCCAAAAGAACGGACAUACCUCUUAUUAACCUUACACUGAUUGUACUAUAACACAUGGAAAACAAUAAUGCUGGAAACUAUCUUUCCUUUUUCUCACUGUUUUUCAAAUCUACUUGUUUGGUCGCUUUAAAAAAAAUGAAGGAUGGACCAUAGGCGGAGCUAGAAAAUGACCUGAGAGGGGCCAAAAUAUGAGAACAUGUUUCAGAGGGACAUAAAUGAUUGAAUUUACCUAGUGAUGUAGCGGCAAUGAAAGAUAUUUUUAUUCUUUUCCUAGGAGGCCGGGCACUUGCCCCUCCUGAGCACCAUGUGGCUCUGCUCCUGGAUGAACCACAACCAAAAGAAAGGACAAACCUCCAUUGCUUGUACUGUAACACUCAGCAUGGAAAACAAAAAUGCAUGUUUUAAAAACUGAUCAAUCAAAGCCUGGUCCAGUUCGAUUCACAUGUUGAGCCGAAGCCAAGGAACCCACUGAAUAGAGGUUGAGAUGUGCCAAAAAUACCACAUACCACAAAUCUAUAGUAUGGGACCAUUGAUCGAAGAUUCGAAGAAAUGAUAGUGCAACCACUAGAUCUAGUGCUAGUUUUGUUAUAUAACAGUUGCAUUUUAGCUAAAUUUAUCCUACUUAUUUAUGUAAUAGUAAAUUUGAAAAAAUAAUAUAAGCAAAAUAACCUACUAUCUUUUAAAACUAUAAAAUUAUCUAAUAUUUAAUAUGUAAAUGAAGCUAAAUAAUAUCAUUUUCUUACAAAUAUUAAUAUAUAUAUAUAUAUAUAUAUAGAUAUGAAAUAUCAAAUAUGAAAAUGUUAGCUGACUUAUUUCAUGAGCAUUUUUUGUUUCACUUGUCUAAAAAUGUUAGCUCUGUUUUUUUUUUUUAAUCUUAAACAUUACAACUUCUAUCCACCCUUUUAGCCGUUUCUGAUGCAAGACUAUAAACAAAGGUCCCACCUAUUGUACCUAAAUCCUUCUUUAGUUAUAUCAUGAUUUUAUAUAUUUAUACUACCGUUUACUAACUCAAUUUUAUCAAAUAUUUUGAAAACCUUGCGUGGGUAUUAGGUAAUGAUAGGGUACAUAAACAACAUAGAAGUUACAUUCAUUAAAACAUAAAAAUACAAUCAAACUUUGAUUGGAAUAGUCCGUAGAGGCUGGACCUUGUGUAAUGUCAACCCCAAUUUAUCAUUCAUGUCCAUCAGGGUUCAAAAUCUCAAUCGAUACCGGUACGACUCGGCCGAGUCGUAUCCGCCUCAACCAUGACCGAUACUAGACCGAUACCCGAGUUGGAUAUUUUGUUGAACAAACUCGGUUGAAUUGAAAGAGUGAAUCCCAUGGAAACGUUGAGACAACUCCAAGAUCAUGUUGAGACUAAGCUAUUUGGGUUAUUGGUAAUAGAAAAAAAGGUAAUAUUGGAGUAGAAAUGGUGGAGAAGAUGAGAGGAUCAAAACCCACGAAAAUGAAAAAUACAGAUUACAGAGAUGGAUUGCAUCUUGUAGUCGUCGGUAGGAUCCCCCAAGUUCUUGCCGGAGAUGGAACUGAGCAACAUGAGGAGGAGGCAGAGUCGCCGGACUCCAGCACCGCUGUUAUCGACGGAGAACGAUGGUGAGGUGGCCGAUGGAAGUGGGAGAAGAGAGAAAGUGGGCCUGUGGAAGAGCUGGUUGUGGGGACUGGGGAGAAAUGGGUGUUUGACCGGUCAAUGGUGGUUAUGAGUAUUUAACAUAUGUGGAUUUGGGUUUUUUUUUUAUAAAUAGGUGAGGAUUUAGGUUUUAAAUAAUAUGUAUUUGUUUUUUAAGUAAAUAACGAGUAUUUGGUGGGAAUUUGAGUUUUAAAUAACUUGAUGAAAAUUAUAAUGAUAAAAAAUUAAUAAUGAAUAUUAGACUUAUAUCAAAUAAAUAGGAAAUAAAUAUUUAUAUAAAAAUUAAAAUUAAUGAAUAUAUUUUAUAAGAAAAAUUAUAUUUAUUUUUUUAAAGAUGAAUCAUGGUUUUAUUUUUUUAAUAGUUAAAAAUAUUUUUUUUAAAAUUCAAAAUAUUUAAUUUAAACAAUUUUUUAUAAAAAAAAUUACUUUUUAUUAUUUUCAUCUUCAACAAGAAAUAUUAUCAAGUGAUUAAAUUAAAAUAUUUUUGGAGAUUUUUAAUAUUAUUUUAAAUCAUCCCAAAAGUAUGCUUUUAUUAUAAUUUGAAUAAUUUUAAUAUAACAGAAGUUUAUUUAUUAAUUUUUCACUCUACUUAUUUGUAUUUAAUUUUUUAAAUAAUUUUUAUAAUUUUUUAAAAUUAUUUUAAGCUCUUAAAUUAGAAUUUUUUGCAUAUCACCCGAUACCGAUCCGAGAUACCGAGACAGAUGUGCCUCAAGACCUCCCGAGUCAAUAACCGAUACCGCGACUUUGAACUAUGAUGUCCAUAUCUGCUGGUUUCAUACCAUCGUCAAGCUUCCAAGCAUAGGAAUGAAGAAGAGAGGCCAAUAUCAGGUGCACCAUCCUAUGAGCUAAUGGCAGUCCAAGACAUAUUCUUCUUCCUGCACCAAAUGGAAUCAACUCAAAAUCUCGGCGUUUGACAUCAAUAUCAAACCCCAAAAACCUCUCAGGCACGAAUGCAUUUGGGUUCAACCAAGUGCUUGGAUCUCGACCGAUAGCCCAUACAUUAACUAGUACUUGGGAAUUCUUUGGAACUGUGAAGCCGCAUAUUUCUACAUCAGUUUCAGCUUUAUGGGGAAGUAGCAGUGGGCCGGGUGGGUGCAACCUAAAGGUCUCUUUAACUAUGGCUUGUAAGUAAUGGAGCUUUGAGAUGUCUGAUUCUUGAACUAUCCCUUCAUUCCCAAGGACUCCUCGGAUCUCCUUUUGAGCUUUUGCCAUUUUUUCCGGGUUGCAUAGUAACUCUGCCAUUGCCCACUCUA
This 29548-nucleotide long non-coding RNA is filed under the name Vitis vinifera (wine grape). RNAcentral describes it as "long non-coding RNA (VVIN_LNC005182)". Lineage: Eukaryota; Viridiplantae; Streptophyta; Magnoliopsida; Vitales; Vitaceae. The record is from RNAcentral.